GAUGAACGCUGGCGGCGCGCCUAACACAUGCAAGUCGAACGGCACCCCUCCUCGGAGGGAAGCGAGUGGCGAACGGCUGAGUAACACGUGGAGAACCUGCCCCCUCCCCCGGGAUAGCCGCCCGAAAGGACGGGUAAUACCGGAUACCCCGGGGUGCCGCAUGGCACCCCGGCUAAAGCCCCGACGGGAGGGGAUGGCUCCGCGGCCCAUCAGGUAGACGGCGGGGUGACGGCCCACCGUGCCGACAACGGGUAGCCGGGUUGAGAGACCGACCGGCCAGAUGGGGACUGAGACACGGCCCAGACUCCUACGGGAGACAGUAGUGGGGAAUCUUGCGCAAUGGGGGGAACCCGGACGCAGCGACGCCGCGUGCGGGACGGAGGCCUUCGGGUCGUAAACCGCUUUCAGCAGGGAAGAGUCAAGACUGUACCUGCAGAAGAAGCCCCGGCUAACUACGUG
RNAcentral lists this ribosomal RNA (459 nucleotides) under uncultured bacterium. RNAcentral describes it as "partial 16S ribosomal RNA". It matches the Rfam family "Bacterial small subunit ribosomal RNA", at positions 28 to 507 of the family's 1533-position model. The record is from RNAcentral.